GCUUAGAUGAGCGGUCUCGGGCCGGGAUGUUCACAACCCUUUGUUGUCCGACUCUGUUGCCUCCGGGGCGACCCUGCCUCCGGGCGGGGGCCCCGGGUGGACAUUUCAAACUCUUGCGUAACUUUGCAGUCUGAGUAAAUUUAAUUAAUAAAUUAAAACUUUCAACAACGGAUCUCUUGGUUCUGGCAUCGAUGAAGAACGCAGCGAAAUGCGAUAAGUAAUGUGAAUUGCAGAAUUCAGUGAAUCAUCGAAUCUUUGAACGCACAUUGCGCCCCCUGGUAUUCCGGGGGGCAUGCCUGUUCGAGCGUCAUUUCACCACUCAAGCCUCGCUUGGUAUUGGGCGACGCGGUCCGCCGCGCGCCUCAAAUCGACCGGCUGGGUCUUUCGUCCCCUCAGCGUUGUGGAAACUAUUCGCUAAAGGGUGCCGCGGGAGGCCACGCCGUAAAACAACCCCAUUUCUAAGGUUGACCUCGGAUCAGGUAGGGAUACCCGCUGAACUUAAGCAUAUCAAUAAGCGGAGGAA
RNAcentral lists this ribosomal RNA (523 nucleotides) under Cladosporium sphaerospermum. Its description in RNAcentral is "eukaryotic LSU rRNA". The stretch from base 157 to 310 matches the Rfam family "5.8S ribosomal RNA". The record is from RNAcentral. Lineage: Eukaryota; Fungi; Ascomycota; Dothideomycetes; Cladosporiales; Cladosporiaceae.